AACGAACGCUGGCGGCGUGGAUAAGACAUGCAAGUCGAACGAGAGAAUUGCUAGCUUGCUAAUAAUUCUCUAGUGGCGCACGGGUGAGUAACACGUGAGUAACCUGCCCCCCGAGAGCGGGGAUACGCCCGUAGGGAAACGUGGGAUUAACUACCGCAUAGUAUACGAAAGAUUAAAGCAGCAAUGCGUCGUUGGGGAUGGGCUCGCGGCCUAUUAGUUAGUUGGUGAGGUAACGCUCACCGAAGGCGAUGACGGGUAGCCGGUCUGAGAGGAUGUCCGGCCACACUGGAACUGAGACACGGUCCAGACACCUACGGGUGGCAGCAGUCGAGAAUCAUUC
This 340-nucleotide ribosomal RNA is filed under the name uncultured bacterium. RNAcentral's name for it is "bacterial SSU rRNA". It matches the Rfam family "Bacterial small subunit ribosomal RNA", at positions 29 to 367 of the family's 1533-position model. The record is from RNAcentral.